Molecule: unclassified non-coding RNA, 377 nt
Filed under: uncultured Oligoflexales bacterium
Lineage: Bacteria; Pseudomonadati; Bdellovibrionota; Oligoflexia; Oligoflexales
Description: contains 16S-23S intergenic spacer region
Source: RNAcentral
UCCGGUUUAACACCGGCAGUCUCCAUAGAGUGCCCAACUAAAUGAUGGCAACUAGGGAUAGGGGUUGCGCUCGUUAAGGGACUUAACCCGACAUCUCACGAUACGAGCUGACGACAGCCAUGCAGCACCUGUCUCCCGGCCCCCGAAGGGGAAGAUCUAUCUCUAGACCGGUCCGAGGAUGUCAAGUCCAGGUAAGGUUCUUCGCGUUGCAUCGAAUUAAACCACAUGCUCCACCGCUUGUGCGGGCCCCCGUCAAUUCCUUUGAGUUUUAAUCUUGCGACCGUACUUCCCAGGCGGGGUACUUAAUGCGUUAGCGUCGACACUGCAGGGGUCAAUUCCCGCAACAUCUAGUACCCAUCGUUUACGGCGUGGACUAC